RNAcentral lists this long non-coding RNA (218 nucleotides) under Mytilus galloprovincialis (Mediterranean mussel). Lineage: Eukaryota; Metazoa; Mollusca; Bivalvia; Mytilida; Mytilidae. The record is from RNAcentral.
GUAUACUGUUGUAGUAUUACUGGUGAAUAUAUCUGGACGUUCACUGACCAAUCUCUUGAUGGUCCCAGGGGAAUAUCAGUUGACGGUGAUCAGAACGUGUUUGUUGUAGGGAGAGAUUAUUACAACCUGAUGAUGAUACAACAUGAUGGAAAAGUCAGUUAAUUGUUACUUACAAAAUCCGACGGUCUGGACAAUCCAGUCCCCGUACAUUACAAUAG